GAGAGAAACAGGCGAAAUGACCGACCUCGUAAUUUUGAUAGAUCCAGAAACUUUGAGAGAAGAAGAGACAUGCAGACUAACCAAAACAGUCAGAACCCUGGAUCCAACAUGCCACCGGGGGGGCCUCCCAACAUGAGGAAUCCACCGCCUCCCAACAUGGGCGGGAUGCAGCAACCUAACAUGGGAGGUCCGCCCAACAUGGGCGGGAUGCACCAGCAGGGCGGGCCUCCCAACAUGAGGAAUCCACCCCCUCCCAACAUGGUCGGGAUGCAGCAACCUAACAUGGGAGGUCCUCCUAACAUGGGCGGGAUGCACCAGCAACCUAACAUGGGAGGUCCGCCUAACAUGGGCGGGAUGCACCAGCAGGGCAUGGGAGGUCCACCCAACAUGGGCGGGAUGCACCAGCAGGGCAUGGGAGGGCCACCCAACCCAGGCGGGAUGCACCAGCCGGGCAUGGGAGGGCCACCCAACCCAGGCGGGAUGCACCAGCCGGGCAUGGGAAGGCCAC
Molecule: long non-coding RNA, 508 nt
Filed under: Nicotiana benthamiana
Lineage: Eukaryota; Viridiplantae; Streptophyta; Magnoliopsida; Solanales; Solanaceae
Description: long non-coding RNA (NBEN_LNC027815)
Source: RNAcentral